RNAcentral lists this ribosomal RNA (240 nucleotides) under uncultured bacterium. RNAcentral's name for it is "partial 16S ribosomal RNA". It matches the Rfam family "Bacterial small subunit ribosomal RNA", at positions 95 to 334 of the family's 1533-position model. The record is from RNAcentral.
CCGGCGCACGGGUGAGUAACGCGUAUGCAACUUACCUAUCAGGAGGGGAGAACCCGGCGAAAGUCGGACUAAUACCGCAUGAAGCAGGGGCCCCGCAUGGGGAUAUUUGCUAAAGAUUCAUCGCUGAUAGAUAGGCAUGCGUUCCAUUAGGCAGUUGGCGGGGUAACGGCCCACCAAACCGACGAUGGAUAGGGGUUCUGAGUGGAAGGUCCCCCACAUUGGUACUGAGACACGGACCAA